AUUGCCUACGGGAGGCAGCAGUGAGGAAUAUUGGUCAAUGGGCGGGAGCCUGAACCAGCCAAGUCGCGUGAGGGAAGACGGUCCUAUGGAUUGUAAACUAUUGUCGUGAGGGAAGAAGAUGACAGUACCUCAGGAGGAAGCUCCGGCUAACUAUGUGCCAGCAGCCGCGGUAAUACAUAGGGAGCAAGCGUUAUCCGGAAUUAUUGGGUGUAAAGGGUGCGUAGACGGGAAAUUAAGUUAGUUGUGAAAUCCCUUGGCUUAACUGAGGAACUGCAACUAAAACUGAUUUUCUUGAGUACUGGAGA
Molecule: ribosomal RNA, 305 nt
Filed under: uncultured bacterium
Lineage: Bacteria
Description: bacterial SSU rRNA
Rfam family: Bacterial small subunit ribosomal RNA
Source: RNAcentral